This 549-nucleotide ribosomal RNA is filed under the name uncultured archaeon. Its description in RNAcentral is "bacterial SSU rRNA". It matches the Rfam family "Archaeal small subunit ribosomal RNA", at positions 329 to 879 of the family's 1478-position model. The record is from RNAcentral.
GGUGCCCAGGCGCGAAAACUUUACCAUGUUGGCAACAGCGAUAAGGGGACCUCGAGUGCCAGGAUACAAUCUUGGCUGUCGCGAUGCCUAAAAAGCAUUGCAUAGCAAGGGCCGGGCAAGACCGGUGCCAGCCGCCGCGGUAACACCGGCGGCUCGAGUGGUAACCGCUAUUAUUGGGUCUAAAGGGUCUGUAGCCGGCCGGAUAAGUCUUUUGGGAAAUCCAGCUGCUCAACAGUUGGGCUUUCAGAAGAUACUGUUCGGCUCGAGACCGGGAGAGGUGAGAGGUACUUCAGGGGUAGGGGUGAAAUCUUGUAAUCCUUGAAGGACCACCAGUGGCGAAGGCGUCUCACCAGAACGGAUCUGACGGCAAGGGACGAAAGCUAGGGGCACGAACCGGAUUAGAUACCCGGGUAGUCCUAGCCGUAAACGAUACUCGCUAGGUGUCAGCCACGGUGCGACCGUGGUUGGUGCCGUAGGGAAGCCGUGAAGCGAGCCACCUGGGAAGUACGGCCGCAAGGCUGAAACUUAAAGGAAUUGGCGGGGGAGCAC